CUGUCCCUUUUAAAAAAGAAAAUGUAAAUACUAUAAGCUCAAAAGAGUACACAGCUUUGAGAAUUUGCAGUCUCGUCACAAAAAUCAGUACAAACAUAUAGGCUUCCAGCACCUACAAGUGCUUGGACCCCUAACUAAAGGUUGAGAACCACUGCUAUAUAACUCCAUAUAAUGUUUCACUGCUAUAUAACAUUUCCUCUAUCCAUAGAUUUUGAUCACGAUUAAUUGUUUAUCCCCAUAUCAAAGAAAUCUUAUAUGAUAUCAACACAUUGUUCUCUAAAUUUUAACACUUUUCUGUAUACAGACUGAAACAAAGAUGGGCACAGAGGUGAUUCAGUGGACAAUCCAAGAUGUGGCUAAUUGGUUGACUGCAAACAGUUUCCAGGAAUUUAUCCCUACAUUUCAAGGUUAAUCUUACAGAAAUGCCCACUCUCUUUAACUGUCCACUAUGCAGCAAACAAACAUUCUCCCUAAUUAAACAGAUUCGACAUAUUGGCCUUUAUCAUCAAAAUGAACCAAAAUUUGAAUUUACAUGUGGAUUGAACGGUUGUGGCAAAGUCAACAAAACCUUUAGUUCCUAUAGAUCACAUACUUAUCGCAAACAUAGAGACCUUCUUUCAUUGGUCAGUGAAGAAGGGGAAGUUUGUGAUGAUGAGCGCUGUAACUCAGAGGAACAUACGGAGGACUUUCAUGGUCUUGACGAGGAGUUGCCUAACACUAAUGUGGAGGACAUUGCUAACUGCAGAGAGUUUAGAACAGAAGAUUUACUUGCAAACCUCAAGCGCAAUCUUUGUCUUUUCAUUUUGAAAUUAAGAGAGAAGCACUGUAUUGCUGCCACAGUUCAGUUCAGUAUUGUGGAGAACCUGCGAGUCAUCUUUCAGGAGUUCACCACUCAUUAUGCUGAGAUUAUAAGAUUUCAUCUUCAACAACAACAUCAAAUUGAUACUGAUGCUGAUGACGAUUUAUCUGAACUACUUAAUAAGCAAAAUGUGUUUGAUGAAUGCCUUCGACAGAUCAGUAGUGAAUGGAUGCUUGAGCACUAUUGUGAAGAUGAACUUGAAUACAUUGCACCUGUACAAAUUCCGCUGGAUCAAACAGAACAUGGUGCACAUUUCCAGUACAUACCUCUCAAGGCUCUGCUAAGAAAGGUUGCUCAGAAUGAGGAUGUGUGGGCAAUGCUUAACCAAGAGAAAACACCCAAACAUCAGGAUGUUAUGGAGGACUACACUGAUGGAGACCAGUUCAAAAGUUGUGUGCUUUCUUCCUUUCCGAAUGUACGUCUACAUUUCUACAUCGAUGAAUUUGAGAUUGUUAACCCUUUAGGCUCUAAAAAGGGAAAACAUAAACUGACAGCUGUGUAUUUUAAACUUGGAAACAUUGAUAAGAAAUAUACAUCAAAACUUGAGAAUAUUUACCUUUCAUCAUUAAUCAGACAUCGGUAUAUUGAAGAAGAUCUUACCAACUAUAACAAUCUGUUUCAGCCUUUGAUUGAAGAAGUGAUAUGUCUUGAGACCGAGGGAGUGACUCUGUCAUGUAAUGGGGAAAGCAGAAGAUUCUAUGGCACAGUAGUCACCAUCUCAGCUGACAAUCUUUCAGCUCAUUCUUUGAUUGGGCUGAAAAGAAAUUUUUCACAUGGGAGAAUAUGUCGUUUUUGCAUGGCCACAAAAGAAGACAUCACUACCAAAUUCAAAGAAGAGGACUUCACUCUAAGAGACAGUGUUAACUACAGAUAUCACCUACAGGCUGUCUGUGAAAAUCCUGAUAAUGGGUCUGUUUAUGGUGUGCAGAGAGAGUGCUGUUUCUCAUCUCUUAACCAUGCUCCUACAGUGAUAACUCACUUGUUUCCACCUGAUGUGAUGCACGAUAUUUUGCAGGGAGUUAUUCCUAAUGCUCUCAGAUGGAUUCUUCAUCAGUUAAUCCAGGAUAAACACUUCACCCUAGAUCAACUAAACUUUGAAAUUGAAAAUUUAUCAUAUUCUGUAAAUGACAAAACAUCUAAGCCACAAAUCUUGACGGAAAGAAUGUUACGAAGAAAAGGUCAACUCUCUGGUAAAGCUUCAGAAACCUGGAGAUUGUUUCGACUACUACCACUAAUGGUCGGAUCUUAUGUACCUCCAAACAAGUAUUGGAACUGCUACAUUUUACUGCGCGAAGUGGUAGAUUUGAUCAUGGCCCCAGUGGUUAGAAGAUCUUGGAUACCCUAUCUUGAGGAGAAAAUCACAGAGUUUUUGGCAACAUUUCAUGAACUCUUCCCUGAUGGUGUCAUUCCAAAAAUGCAUUUUUUAGUGCACUAUCCUUCACUUAUGCUGAAAUAUGGGCCAUUAAUUCAUUUGUCUUGUAUGCGGUUUGAGGCAAAACAUCAGUAUUUCAAGAAAGUGUCUACUGUUGUUUGCAACUUCAAGAACAUCACCAAAUCACUUGCUAGAAGGCAUCAGCUGAGACAGUGCUGGGAGCAAGCUCAGAAGAAAAGCAUUGGAUAUGAAGUGUGCCAUGCCUCAGGAGCUUGUGAUGUACCAUCAAACACCCUGCCUUCUUUAGUAUUGGCCACACUGGAAUCACAGAUUGGAAGACCUCUGUCAAAUGAAGUCCUACAAAAAACAAAUUCCAUCACAGUUAACAAUACAGCUUAUAAAACUGGAGAAUGCAAAGUGAUUGACACUGUACACACUGAAGAGAUUCCAUUAUUUCUCAAGAUCAAAGCAAUAUAUGGACACAGUGGUUCAUGGUACAUGUUUGGAAAAAUACUCAUUCCAUUCAAAUUUGACAGUCAUCUCCAUGCAUACAAAGUUACCGAAACAUCUUGGUGUGCCCUUGAAGUAGGGAAAGAGUUAGCUUUCCAUGGACUGGACACUUAUAAAAACCUGGAAGGAACUCUUUUGAUCCCCUUGCGACAUUGGAUUACUAAAUAUUAGAAUGUGUAUGUGCAUUUAUACACAAUUCCUAAUGCAGUUUGGUGGAAAAUGUUGUACUCCUAUUGACUCUUCUUGUUUUUACAGAGAAUGAAAUUGAUGGGGACACUUUUGUGAACCUAACUGAAAAUAUGAUAUCAAAAAUAUUUCCGAAAAUGAAGGAUCAAGUUAGAUUUAUAAGAUUACAACAAAGCCUAAAGACGGAGAUGCCCUCUAAGACCACACACACCAAUCAUGAGACUUCAGUUGAUAUUUCACAUGGCCCAAUAUUAAAACACAACAUUGCCCAAACAGUGUGGCCAGCAAAUUAUCAGCUGCCCAAAUUUCCAUUGGCAAUACAAAAAAAACUUGAUGAGGAGAGCAGAGAUUUUUUUUCUUCAACAGGACGGAACAAAUGGAGAUCGAAAGUAAUUCAAACUCUGUUUGAUCAGAUGUGCACAUAUACAUGGUAUCCAACAAGUGAACAGUACAACAAGGUGUGUUCAGCCCUGGUUGCAAAGUACCAAUUCUUGAGAGACAGGACAGGAAGGGGAUAUGUAAGAACAUGACAAGAUUUUUUCAAUUUUAUAAACCCUUAAAUACUUCCUUGAUAUUGUUACGGUGUAGUGUAGUAGAGAUGAUGCAUUACACGGAUAUCCACAACAACGGUUCUUUUACGGAACAAAAGGAGCAAACAUAACACCAUCACACAUUAGAUUAACAAUAAGGACAGACAAGGAGUGAAGGGAGUGAGUCCAUUAUAAAGGGAGUGCUGAUGAAGAAGUCCAGGUGCAGGUGAUCCGUGAUGAUGAGGAGAAGACGAGGGAAGUGAGUGCAGGUGUGGAAACACGAGGAUCAUGGAAAAUGGAGUCCUGGAGACGAGGGAACUGUGACAGUACCUCCCCCGCCUGGUAGGCGCGUCCUCGCGCCGUAGAUAGAACAACCGGGAGGGGGGUGGGCGCCCUGGACACUGAGGUUUCCAGGGCGGAUCAGAGGCUGUGGACAGCCAUGGAGGGUCAGAGGCUGUGGGCGGCCCUGCUGACCCCGAAACCCCGCCCAGG
RNA transcript from Megalobrama amblycephala (Wuchang bream), 3949 nucleotides. It is a transcript of the gene named sterile alpha motif domain-containing protein 3-like, with no coding region annotated. NCBI's taxonomy places the organism in Eukaryota, Metazoa, Chordata, Actinopteri, Cypriniformes, Xenocyprididae. The record is from RefSeq and is a predicted model, not a curated record. The transcript has 3 exons.